AGUGAACGCUGGCGGUAGGCCUAACACAUGCAAGUCGAACGGCAGCACAGUAGGAACUUGCUCUUACGGGUGGCGAGUGGCGGAAGGGGGAGGAAGACAUCGGAAUAUACUUUGUCGUGGGUGAUAACGUAGGGAGACUUACGCUAAUACCGCAUACGACCUACGGGGGAAAGCAGGGGAUCUUCUGACCUUGCGCGAUUGAAUGAGGCAAUGUCGGAUUAGCUAGUUCGCGGGGUAACGGCUCACCAAGGCGAAGAUCCGUACCUCGUCUGAGAGGAUCAUUCGCCACCCUGGCUCUGAGGCACGGUCCCCACUCCUACGGUAGGCAGCAGUCGGGAAUCUUGGACGAUGGGCGAAAGCCUGAUCCAGCCAUACCGCGUGGGUCAAGAAGGCCUUCGGCUUCUAAAGCCAUUUUGUUGGGAAAGAAAAGCAGCACGUUCAUCCCCCGCUGUUCUGACGGUACCCAAAGAAUAAGCACCGGCUAACUUCGUG
RNAcentral lists this ribosomal RNA (492 nucleotides) under uncultured bacterium. Its description in RNAcentral is "partial 16S ribosomal RNA". It matches the Rfam family "Bacterial small subunit ribosomal RNA", at positions 29 to 507 of the family's 1533-position model. The record is from RNAcentral.